Long non-coding RNA from Paramormyrops kingsleyae, 1530 nucleotides. RefSeq lists it as uncharacterized. NCBI's taxonomy places the organism in Eukaryota, Metazoa, Chordata, Actinopteri, Osteoglossiformes, Mormyridae. The record is from RefSeq and is a predicted model, not a curated record.
AGUGAGGCACAGGGAAAGGGCAAUCAAGGGGCAAUCAAAGGGCAUUUAGAACACCAUACAAAAUAAAACGGUACCAAUCAAGAAAGCCACGAAAGGAAAAAAUAUAUAAAGCAUUAUCUGCUAAAAGUAUGGGUGCUUUUAUGACGUAAAUAACUAUAUAAUAUUCUUAAGUAGUAAAUCCUAGACCAAACUGAAAUGUUCAUAAUUGACUGAAAUAUGUCCUUCAUUUUAGAUUGUGCUACAGUAAGGAAUUUAUCUUAAUUCAGCUUCAAUAUUCGAAAAAUAUUCUUAAAUACAUAUAUAUUUGGGGGAAAAAGCAUAUUACACCAAGUGAUUUUUGCCGUUAUCCUGGAAUACUUGAUCUGCAACUGUAAUGAAUUUUGUUGCACUUAUGUAACAGUGAACAUACAAUCUGGAAGUUUUACAAUAUGGAAUUCUCCAUAAAGUUCAAAAUUAUUUUCUCUCAUAACCAAUGGUCAAGAUAAGGAGUAGUAAACCUGACUGAAGCAGAAUUAGCAUGUUCACUGUAUUAUGAUUAUUCACGGCUUAUCUGGAAGUAAGAAUAAUCAAAGUUCUUAUGUUAACAUGGGAGUGUCACAGAUACCCUUCGGUGUGCUCUGGACUGUGCUGAGAUGGCAUUUUAGUGGUGGUUCAAGGAGUGACAGUCAGUAUCUCAGUGAAAGCUGAGAACACCAUUGCACAACCUAAUCCCAAGGUUAAAGGAAGUUAGAUCCACUUCGGCGCAGUAAAAAAUGCUUGACUGGUUGUGAGAUCUGCUGUAGGCGACGUUUUUGCCGUCCUACCCAAAGUUUGGAAGUUUGCCCUGAAAUCAGCUUGGCUGGGGGGCAUUAAAAGGUUAUUACCAGGAGCAAGAGUAUUAAUAGAUGCAAAGGCGCCCUGAGUCCAGUUGGCACGGUUUGCAGGCCUCGUGAUCCGGCAUGACAUUCUGAACCGGUCAGAGCUGCUGACUGACCACUGAAGGGCGAGACCAAAGGCAGAGACCGCGGGAAUGCAAGAGAGCAAACAGGCAAAUCUGAAAAUGCUACUUAUAGCUAGUUUGUGGACAGUGAGCCAUAGAAAGUGGGGGCACAACCUUUUCAUUUGAAUAAAGGUACAUUAUUGGAACUUUAAGAUUCAACAAUAGGAUGAAUAGUUCUCCCAGGACCUGCUGAACGCUGGAUAGCAGUCUUUUAUGAUGGCUUAUUGCAUUUAUGCAGUGUGACACACACAUCUAAGGUUUCUCCAUAGGUCUGGAUGGCAGAGAUGGACGUACCUCCAGGCUGUCUGUAGCGAGCGAGGUGGCGGGGGGUGGAAGGCGAUCGGCAUGGGGACAUGUCUCCUGGCUCAUUCACUGGGGGUGUCUCUGGGAUGAACUUGUCCAUUGACACAGACUCUAGCACCGCUGUCAAAAAGGACCACAAGAGACCACAAAGAUGCCAUUCUGUGUGGGGGCGAAAAUCGUAGACAAGUUCCUGUGCCGAUGUCCACAUAGUGCUUUUCUUUGGAACGUACGUGUGGUGAUACCUCCAG